UUUCCGUAGGUGAGCCUGCGGAAGGAUCAUUAUCGAAAAACAAAAUGGAUGUAUUGUGGUUUUUGUCAAAAAAACCUCCAUAUCCACCAUUUAUAAAACCCCCAUUAUGUGAAAAACAAUGAAUUAUUUGUGUUUAGUGCGAUGAUAUAUAUGGUGGUUGUUGGCAAUCUAUAGUGUCAUAAGAAAGCAUUUCCUAUUUCCUAAAAAUUGUCCACCUACCAUGUCAUUUUUCUACACACAAAUAAUCACAAAACUCCAAAAUUGAAUUUGAUUCUAAACCUUUAGGUCUUAAACAUUCAUGUUACUUUAUGAAGCCUAGUCUUUAUAAAGCAACAACUAAAAGAAAAAACAACUUUUAACAACGGAUCUCUAGGCUCUC
Molecule: unclassified non-coding RNA, 379 nt
Filed under: plant metagenome
Description: partial contains small subunit ribosomal RNA, internal transcribed spacer 1, and 5.8S ribosomal RNA
Source: RNAcentral